RNAcentral lists this ribosomal RNA (420 nucleotides) under uncultured prokaryote. RNAcentral's name for it is "bacterial SSU rRNA". It matches the Rfam family "Bacterial small subunit ribosomal RNA", at positions 338 to 774 of the family's 1533-position model. The record is from RNAcentral.
CCUACGGGGGCAGCAGUGAGGAAUCUUCCACAAUGGGCGAAAGCCUGAUGGAGCCACGCCGCGUGCAGGAUGAAGGCCUUCGGGUUGUAAACUGCUUUUAUGAGUGAAGAAUAUGACGGUAACUCAUGAAUAAGCACCGGCUAACUACGUGCCAGCAGCCGCGGUCAUACGUAGGGUGCAAGCAUUAUCCGGAGUGACUGGGCGUAAAGAGUUGCGUAGGUGGUUUAUUAAGUGAAUAGUGAAAGCUGGUGGCUCAACCAUACAGACUAUUAUUCAAACUGGUAGACUCGAGAGUAGUAGAGGUAACUGGAAUUUCUUGUGUAGGAGUGGAAUCCGUAGAUAUAAGAAGGAACACCAAUGGCGGAGGCAGGGUACUGGGCUAUCUCUGACACUGAGGCACGAAAGCGUGGGGAGCGAACC